Molecule: ribosomal RNA, 506 nt
Filed under: uncultured bacterium
Lineage: Bacteria
Description: partial 16S ribosomal RNA
Rfam family: Bacterial small subunit ribosomal RNA
Source: RNAcentral
GAUGAACGCUAGCUACAGGCUUAACACAUGCAAGUCGAGGGGUAACGAGAGGAAAGCUUGCUUUCCUUGUCGACGACCGGCGCACGGGUGAGUAACGCGUAUCCAACCUGCCCCCAACUAGGGAAUAACCUUGCGAAAGUAAGACUAAUACCCUAUAAUUUCCACAGAUGUCAUCUGACGAGGAAUAAAGAUUUAUCGGUUGUGGAUGGGGAUGCGGAUGAUUAGCUUGUUGGCGGGGUAACGGCCCACCAAGGCAACGAUCAGUAGGGGUUCUGAGAGGAAGGUCCCCCACAUUGGAACUGAGACACGGUCCAAACUCCUACGGGAGGCAGCAGUGAGGAAUAUUGGUCAAUGGGCGGAAGCCUGAACCAGCCAAGUAGCGUGCAGGAUGACGGCCCUAUGGGUUGUAAACUGCUUUUAUACAGGAAUAAAGUUAGCCACGUGUGGUUAUUUGUAGGUACUGUAUGAAUAAGGACCGGCUAAUUCCGUGCCAGCCGCCGCCGUAA